This is a long non-coding RNA of Rhipicephalus sanguineus (brown dog tick), 178 nucleotides long. RefSeq lists it as uncharacterized. NCBI's taxonomy places the organism in Eukaryota, Metazoa, Arthropoda, Arachnida, Ixodida, Ixodidae. The record is from RefSeq and is a predicted model, not a curated record. The transcript has 2 exons.
UCACUGACUCCCUCUGCUCUCUUCUUGUCUCUUAAGGUUACACCUAUCAUUUUCCUUUCCAUCGCUCGCUGCGUCGUCCUCAAUUUAAGCUGAACCCUCUUUGUAAGUCUCCAGGUUUCUGCUCCGUAGGUAAGUACCGGUAAGAUGCAGCUGUUAUAUACCUUCCUCUUGAGGGAUA